GGGACAACUGAUGGUGCCAGUGUCAGGGUCCGAAACGGGUGCUCUCCCCCAGCGGCUAUCAGCUCUUGGUUCUAUGUCUCGUGCCCCCACUUUUUUGUUAGUGGCUGAGGAGCUGUCAAUGAAGUGUCCGGCGGCCGUCAACGGUCUCCGUCGCCCAUACGACAUCAUCAUAUGACCGGAGUGAGUCAGUGAAUCAGCUGCCAAGUUUGAUUUGUGCUUUGGCCAACAAAUGGUUUAAUGAGACACUAGGUCGGGGGCUGCUCCGAGUUUCGAGUUUCGAGUUCCGAGUUCGAUCUCCGCAAAAACGAUGACGAUGACCCUGGGCACUCUGUUUCUGUUUCUGUCAGCCACUGCGAUCGUAAAUUGAGCAAACAUUUGUGGUUUGCGCUGGCUGAUUGCGUGCACUGCAAUGCAAGUUUUAUGGCACUCUCCUUGCGAUGAUUGUGACUGCGAGUGUGUGGAUUCG
Molecule: long non-coding RNA, 466 nt
Filed under: Drosophila guanche
Lineage: Eukaryota; Metazoa; Arthropoda; Insecta; Diptera; Drosophilidae
Source: RNAcentral